RNAcentral lists this ribosomal RNA (263 nucleotides) under uncultured bacterium. Its description in RNAcentral is "partial 16S ribosomal RNA". It matches the Rfam family "Bacterial small subunit ribosomal RNA", at positions 793 to 1055 of the family's 1533-position model. The record is from RNAcentral.
GUCCUUGCCGUAAACGAUGUAUACUUGAUGUAGUUAGGCUCAACCCUGACUGUGUCGAAGCUAACGCGAUAAGUAUACCGCCUGGGGAGUACGCUCGCAAGGGUGAAACUCAAAAGAAUUGACGGGGGCCCGCACAAGCAGUGGAGCAUGUGGUUUAAUUCGAUGCAACGCGAAGAACCUUACCCAGGCUCGAAAUGUAACGGACGAUAACAGAGAUGUUAUUUUCCGCAAGGACCGUUAUAUAGGUGCUGCAUGGCUGUCGU